This 465-nucleotide ribosomal RNA is filed under the name uncultured bacterium. Its description in RNAcentral is "partial 16S ribosomal RNA". It matches the Rfam family "Bacterial small subunit ribosomal RNA", at positions 338 to 795 of the family's 1533-position model. The record is from RNAcentral.
CCUACGGGAGGCAGCAGUAGGGAAUUUUCGUCAAUGGGCGCAAGCCUGAACGAGCAAUGCCGCGUGAACGAGGAAGGUCUUCGGAUUGUAAAGUUCUUUUGAUGGGGAAAAAGAGCGGAGAGCGGAAAUGCUCUCCGAUUGACAUUACCCUUAGAGGAAGUCACGGCUAACUCCGGGCCAGCAGCCGCGGUAAUACGUAGGUUGCCAGCGUUAUUCGGAAUGAUUGGGCGUAAAGGGGACGUAGGCGGCCUGUCAAGUCCUGUGUGAAAUGUGCGGGCUUAACCCGGGACAUGCAUUGGAAACUGGCAGGCUAGAGAGCAGGAGAGGGCGGUAGAACUCCAGGUGUAGCGGUAAAAUGCGUAGAGAUAUGGAAGAAUACCAGUGGCGAAGGCGGCCGCCUGGCCUAUGACUGACGCUGAGGCACGAAAGCGUGGGGAGCAAAUAGGAUUAGAUACCCGUGUAGUC